CCCCCCGUAGCUCAGCGGAUAGAGCAGCAGCCUUCUAAUCUGUCGGUCGCAGGUUCGAUUCCUGCCGGGGGGA
Molecule: transfer RNA, 73 nt
Filed under: Microbacterium sp. Clip185
Lineage: Bacteria; Bacillati; Actinomycetota; Actinomycetes; Micrococcales; Microbacteriaceae
Description: tRNA-Arg
Rfam family: tRNA
About the family: Transfer RNA (tRNA) molecules are approximately 80 nucleotides in length. Their secondary structure includes four short double-helical elements and three loops (D, anti-codon, and T loops).
Source: RNAcentral